GACGAACGCUGGCGGCGUGCUUAACACAUGCAAGUCGAACGGAAAGGCCCUGCUUUUGUGGGGCGCUCGAGUGGCGAACGGGUGAGUAACACGUGAGUAACCUGCCCUUGACUUUGGGAUAACUUCAGGAAACUGGGGCUAAUACCGGAUAGGAGCUCCUGCUGCAUGGUGGGGGUUGGAAAGUUUCGGCGGUUGGGGAUGGACUGGCGGCUUAUCAGCUUGUUGGUGGGGUAGUGGCUUACCAAGGCUUUGACGGGUAGCCCGCCUGAGAGGGGGACCGGCCACAUUGGGACUGAGAUACGGCCCAGACUCCUACGGGAGGCAGCAGUGGGGAAUAUUGCACAAUGGGCGGAAGCCUGAUGCAGCAACGCCGCGUGCGGGAUGACGGCCUUCGGGUUGUAAACCGCUUUCGCCUGUGACGAAGCGUGAGUGACGGUAAUGGGUAAAGAAGCACCGGCUAACUACGUG
This 468-nucleotide ribosomal RNA is filed under the name uncultured bacterium. RNAcentral describes it as "partial 16S ribosomal RNA". It matches the Rfam family "Bacterial small subunit ribosomal RNA", at positions 28 to 507 of the family's 1533-position model. The record is from RNAcentral.